GCGCCGAUGGUUGAAUGGUACAAUGGGGCGUUGCCAACGCUUUGGUGCGGGUUCGAUCCCCGCUCGGCGCA
RNAcentral lists this transfer RNA (71 nucleotides) under Candidatus Woesearchaeota archaeon CG08_land_8_20_14_0_20_43_7. Its description in RNAcentral is "tRNA-Gly". It matches the Rfam family "tRNA". Rfam says of the family: Transfer RNA (tRNA) molecules are approximately 80 nucleotides in length. Their secondary structure includes four short double-helical elements and three loops (D, anti-codon, and T loops). Further hydrogen bonds mediate the characteristic L-shaped molecular structure. tRNAs have two regions of fundamental functional importance: the anti-codon, which is responsible for specific mRNA codon recognition, and the 3' end, to which the tRNAs corresponding amino acid is attached (by aminoacyl-tRNA synthetases). tRNAs cope with the degeneracy of the genetic code in two manners: having more than one tRNA (with a specific anti-codon) for a particular amino acid; and 'wobble' base-pairing, i.e. permitting non-standard base-pairing at the 3rd anti-codon position. Lineage: Archaea; Nanobdellati; Candidatus Woesearchaeota. The record is from RNAcentral. RNAcentral also lists the same sequence under 1 other name.